UCAAGAAACGAAAACAAUCAGUUAUAUUUUGAAAAAAGGUUCACCAGUUUUGAUACAAAUAAAUAUUAGAGAAAACAUAUACCAAAUAGUAAAUAAUGUCUGACUGGUUUGAUGAGAGAAUCAACUUGAAUUAUACUUUUUAAAUCAUGAAUUGUUCGAUUCUAAUAACUAUGGCACAUGUUUUGUUUACGGAUGCGGGCGAAGUUAAUUCUCAAUCACCAUCUCCUCGUUGCGGCACAAGUCGUAGCCUAAGUUACAAUAUCACAGGUUUUUAUUUUAUUUUAUUUUAAUAUGAUCUUUCAAUGCAAUUCACUGCAUUUUUAUGUACAUUUCUCUGUAUAUGGUUUUUGAUAUGUUAACUGCAUCUACUAUUUUUGUUACCCAAUCACCACCUAAGAGACAUCAAAGUUUUGAGAAUUAGGACAGGUUUCUGAGCCGUGGGCCAAAUACUGAUGUGCGCUCAAGGGGCAGGAAGCACAAUCCAACACCCAAUGAAGGCAAGUCUAGCUUUUUAUUUUAUGUUUUGUUUUCUUAUUUGUAUCAAAACGACGAGUUUUGUUUUGGUUUCUUAAUGAUUGAGCAUGUUUGCUGAUUUAUCAAUUUUAUUUAUUUAUUUAUUUGUAUCUGUUUUUUGAAUUUCUUUUAGAAUUUUAUAUUUGAAGAGAUAUUCAUUCUAUGGUACUUUAUUUUGUGAAAGUUAAAAAGAAUUGGAUAUGUUUAGAAAGAACUACCAAAACUUAGGUACUGUUAAGUAAUUAAACUUAGAAAGGAAAAACUUUUAAUUUCAGAUUCAAGUAAAAUCUCAAUAUUGCAUUGCUAAAUUCGGAAUUUAAUGACUCCUAUUUGAUAUAUAUAUAUAUAUUCAUUCCCUCACUUUUAUAAAAUAGUUUACACUUUAUAAAUAAUACAAUAGGGAGAUAUUCUAUUGGCUAAUGAUCAUUUUCUCGGUACAAUCAGGGUGGAACCACCUUAUAGGAAUCACUUAGUAUUGAUAUUGAGGAUGGAAAGAACAUAUAAAUUGUUUUUUUUCUUUUCAAAAAAGCAGUUUUCAGAAAAGUAGCUAUAAAAAAAAUUAAUUAUUAAAAAACUAUGAACUUACUAUUUUCAACAUCCAACAGAAAUUCUAAAUACACAGUAAAAUUUUAAAGAUACCAAACUAUUUUUGGAAAUUUAACAUAAUUAUAAGGUUUGCCUAUAGAAUUUUUAUAAUUUAGACCUCACAGAAAUUUAAAGUUCACUCUUUAGUAGUUUUUACUUGGCCAAAUAGUUUAAAAAAUUCAAUUAUUUAUGAAAUUUUGUUAUUAUAGCUAAUUUUAUAAAAAUUAUUAAUAGCCAAUUAAAUGCAAUUUUGAUUAGAUAAUAUUUUAAUAUAAGAUUUCCAAUUAGUUCUUUGAUGUUUUAUAUUUGUUUAUCGGAUUCCACAAAUUAACUGAUAAUAUUUAAUUCAGAAGACUCAAAUUGAAAAUGUUCUUGGGGAUCUAAGUAAUAUUUAAAAAUUAAAGUUCAAGAAUUCCAAAUUGAAAAUAUUUUUGGGGAUUCAAAUAAUAUUUUCAAAAAAAUAGUCCCAAGUAAAUUGGAUAUUUGAAGAUCUAGAGUUCUAGGUUAGAAAUGUUCUUGGGAAUCCAACCCAAAAAAAAAAAGUCAUAUCCUAAAACUAAUUUCUCUAUAUAUAUCAGGCUACUAACUAAAACUUUUUUCUAGUAAUUUAAAUAAUUAUGUAUAAUUAGCCAACAAAUAAACACAAAAUCAAAUAUUUUAGGUGAAAAAUAUACUUUUUUUAACUAUUUUCUUCAGUAAACUUAGAAAGGUUUAUGUUUUUUGCAGGUGGAUAUAGUUUUUAGUAAUAACUCAAGUAUGAGGUACAAGAGUUGAGGGUACAGUUUGAAUCCAACCAAGUUGAUAUCACACCAAAAACCGAGAGAGAGCAAUCUUAGAUGGGUUGAAAUGCUUGAGCAUAUGACGUCACAGAAGAAAGCAGCAGUGAUAUAACACCGACGUUGAGCGGUGAAAAGGCUGUUGGUGGUGAUGCAAAGUGGAAAAGAAAGACGGUAAAGAGAGAAAAAUAAAAGAAAAAAAAAUGUGUGGCUUAUUUACAGCUGCAAGUGUUAAAUGCAGGAGAAACAAUGAAGCUAAAUUACAUGUGUAAUUGGCCAAUACUGACCAAAACAUGCAC
Molecule: long non-coding RNA, 2173 nt
Filed under: Ricinus communis (castor bean)
Lineage: Eukaryota; Viridiplantae; Streptophyta; Magnoliopsida; Malpighiales; Euphorbiaceae
Description: long non-coding RNA (RCOM_LNC001476)
Source: RNAcentral